GUAGGUGAACCUGCGGAAGGAUCAUUAACACGUAUCCACGUAUCGAAACACUCUGUGAACCUUUUAUUUGCACGAGAAGAGCUGAAAUUAUAGUUAGUAAUGGGUCUUGCAAAAGACGACUAUAAGGACUAGGGAUUCGAUCCCAGUGCUCUCUUGUGACAUCUUCAUUACUACAAACAAACACUUCUAACACUUUACUCCUUUUGACUGAUGUACUUAUGUAAGAGAAAUCUGGCACAAGUCUUUAUCUAAACUAAGCACAACUCUUAGCAAUGGAUAUCUUGGUUCUC
This 290-nucleotide unclassified non-coding RNA is filed under the name rhizosphere metagenome. Its description in RNAcentral is "partial ribosomal RNA internal transcribed spacer region". The record is from RNAcentral.